Molecule: long non-coding RNA, 453 nt
Organism: Felis catus (domestic cat)
Lineage: Eukaryota; Metazoa; Chordata; Mammalia; Carnivora; Felidae
Exons: 3
Source: RefSeq, a predicted model, not a curated record
UAAGCAUGAUCUCAUCUGUCUGGGAAGAUCAUCAUCUUUCAAAGGCUAAGAAAGAAGGAGGCUCCACGUGGGUGGAGCAGGGUGAGGGGAGAACAGAGUUUAAUUAGCUGGUCAGAGCAGUCUAGUAGCCUGACGGUCAUGGAAAAACAGGUUUCAUAACCAGACUGCCCACAGUUUUAAAAGUUAUCUAUUCCUUUUAUUGAGAUAUCGUUGACAUCUAACAAUGUGCAGACUGUGGCUUUGUCUUCAUGAGUCAGAAUGGCUUCUAAAGCUCCAGAUAUUACCUCUGCAUAAAGUGGUCAAAUGUAGGAAGCUUUUCCAUACUUGAGAACAGGUCAAGAAACCCAUUAUCAAUGACCGUCUUCUGUCUGAGGUGCCGAACAACUACAAAACCUCGAUGCCCUUUCUUCAGGGACUUUUAAAAGUAACAUUUAAUAAAUACUUUAAAAUGCC